GCGUGGCUGCGCGGUUCGUCAGGAAUUCAUUCCCCGGGGCCUUAUCGAUCUCAAAGGGAGCUGUCACUGGCCAGGCUCGUGGGCUUGGUCAUCACGGCGCCCACCUACGUUGUAGGUUCCCGGGAUCGACACUUCCAACGGCCGAGGCGGCUACGCA
Molecule: non-coding RNA, 157 nt
Filed under: Hyphomicrobiales bacterium
Lineage: Bacteria; Pseudomonadati; Pseudomonadota; Alphaproteobacteria; Hyphomicrobiales
Description: Rhizobiales bacterium (soil metagenome) 6S RNA
Rfam family: 6S / SsrS RNA
About the family: E. coli 6S RNA was the first non coding RNA to be sequenced, but its function was unknown until recently. It consists of 184 nucleotides that fold into an extended hairpin structure with a large single-stranded internal bulge. The 6S RNA specifically associates with RNA polymerase holoenzyme containing the sigma70 specificity factor.
Source: RNAcentral